This 631-nucleotide ribosomal RNA is filed under the name uncultured eukaryote. Its description in RNAcentral is "SSU rRNA". It matches the Rfam family "Eukaryotic small subunit ribosomal RNA", at positions 639 to 1274 of the family's 1831-position model. The record is from RNAcentral.
UUCUGGUACAACGCGCCUGGCCCGCUUUUAGUGAGUGCCGGUGCGCGUUUGCCAUCCUUCUAGAAAACGUUUCUACCUGGGCAACCGGGCCGGACUCGCGAUCUAGAUCUUUUACUUUGAAAAAAUUAGAGUGUUUAAAGCAGGCUUUUGCUGUGAAUACAUUAGCAUGGAAUAAUAAUCUAGGACUUCGGUUCUAUUUUGUUGGUUUCUAGUACUGAAGUAAUGAUUGAUAGGGAUAGUUGGGGGUGCUAGUAUUGGCCGGCCAGAGGUGGAAUUCUUGGAUUCGGUCAAGACUAACUUAUGCGAAAGCAUUCACCAAGGAUGUCUUCUUUAAUCAAGAACGAAAGUUGGGGGAUCGAAGACGAUCAGAUACCGUCGUAGUCUCAACCAUAAACUAUGCCAACUAGGGAUGGGUGAACGUUGUUUUUUUGACUUCAUCUGCACCUUAUGAGAAAUCAAAGUCUUUGGGUUCCGGGGGGAGUAUGGUCGCAAGGCUGAAACUUAAAGGAAUUGACGGAAGGGCACCACCAGGAGUGGAGCCUGCGGCUUAAUUUGACUCAACACGGGAAAACUUACCAGGUCCGGACAUAGUGAGGAUUGACAGAUUGAAGAUCUUUCUUUGAUCUAUGGG